RNAcentral lists this ribosomal RNA (485 nucleotides) under Xenophora pallidula. RNAcentral describes it as "partial 16S ribosomal RNA". It matches the Rfam family "Bacterial large subunit ribosomal RNA", at positions 1847 to 2597 of the family's 2925-position model. Lineage: Eukaryota; Metazoa; Mollusca; Gastropoda; Littorinimorpha; Xenophoridae. The record is from RNAcentral.
GGAGAGUCGGACCUGCCCAGUGAAUUGUUUUAACGGCCGCGGUACUCUGACCGUGCAAAGGUAGCAUAAUCAUUUGCCCUAUAAUUGAGGGCUAGUAUGAAUGGUUUGACAAGAACAAAGCUGUCUCUUUAAAAUUAGUUAGAAUUUAAUCUUUAGGUGAAGAAGCCUAAAUUGAAUUGAUAGACAAGAAGACCCUAUCGAGCUUUAAAUAAAUAUUUAAAAGAUAAAAAAUUAAUUAAUAUUUUUAAUUAAAUUAUAUUUUAGUUGGGGCGACUUAGGAACAAAUAAAGCUUCUUUAUAUACUAAAGACUUUUAAGUGUUGAUCCAAAAUUUUUGAUUAAAAGAAUUAGUUACCGUAGGGAUAACAGCAUAAUCUUUUUUGAGAGCUCUUAUCGAAAAAAAGGUUUGUGACCUCGAUGUUGGACUAAAGUAUCCUGAAGAUGCAGAAGUCUUCAAGGGUUGGUCUGUUCGACCAUUAUAACUUU